CAUUGAGCUCCACAGAGACAGCGCCAGGGCAAGUGAGAGCCGGACGGGCACUGGGCGACUCUGUGCCUCGCUGAGGAAAAAUAACUAAACAUGGGCAAAGGAGAUCCUAAGAAGCUGAGAGGCAAAAUGUCAUCAUAUGCAUUUUUUGUGCAAACGUCGGGAGGAGCAUAAGAAGAAGCACCCAGAUGCUUCAGUCAACUUCUCAAGAGUUUUCUAAGAAGUGCUCAGAGAGGUGGAAGACCAUUUCUGCUAAAGACAAAGGAAAAUUUCAAGAUAUGGCAAAGGUGGACAAGGCCCAUUAUGAAAGAGAAAUGAAAACCUACAUCCCUCCCAAAGGGGAGACAAAAAAGAAGUUCAAGGAUCCCAAUGCACCCAAGAGGCCUCCUUCGGCCUUCUUCCUCUUCUGCUCUGAGUAUCGCCCAAAAAUCAAAGGAGAACAUCCUGGCCUGUCCAUUGGUGAUGUUGCGAAGAAACUGGGAGAGAUGUGGAAUAACACUGCUGCAGAUGACAAGCAGCCUUAUGAAAAGAAGGCUGCGAAGCUGAAGGAAAAAUACGAAAAGGAUAUUGCUGCAUAUCGAGCUAAAGGAAAGCCUGAUGCAGCAAAAAAGGGAGUUGUCAAGGCUGAAAAAAGCAAGAAAAAGAAGGAAGAGGAGGAAGAUGAGGAAGAUGAAGAGGAUGAGGAGGAGGAGGAAGAUGAAGAAGAUGAAGAUGAAGAAGAAGAUGAUGAUGAUGAAUAAGUUGGUUCUAGCGCAGUUUUUUUUUCUUGUCUAUAAAGCAUUUAACCCCCCUGUACACAACUCACUCCUUUUAAAGAAAAAAACUGAAAUGUAAGGCUGUGUAAGAUUUGUUUUUAAACUGUACAGUGUCUUUUUUUGUAUAGUUAACACACUACCGAAUGUGUCUUUAGAUAGCCCUGUCCUGGUGGUAUUUUCAAUAGCCACUAACCUUGCUUGGUACAGUAUGGGGGUUGUAAAUUGGCAUGGAAAUUUAAAGCAGGUUCUUGUUGGUGCACAGCACAAAUUAGUUAUAUAUGGGGAUGGUAGUUUUUUCAUCUUCAGUUGUCUCUGAUGCAGCUUAUACGAAAUAAUUGUUGUUCUGUUAACUGAAUACCACUCUGUAAUUGCAAAAAAAAAAAAAAAAGUUGCAGCUGUUUUGUUGACAUUCUGAAUGCUUCUAAGUAAAUACAAUUUUUUUAUUAGUAUUGUUGUCCUUUUCAUAGGUCUGAAAUUUUUCUUCUUGAGGGGAAGCUAGUCUUUUGCUUUUGCCCAUUUUGAAUCACAUGAAUUAUUACAGUGUUUAUCCUUUCAUAUAGUUAGCUAAUAAAAAGCUUUUGUCUACCCACCCUGCAUAUCAUAAUGAGGGUAAAGUUAAGUUGAGAUAGUUUUCAUCCAUAACUGAACAUCCAAAAUCUUGAUCAGUUAAGAAAUUUCACAUAGCCCACUUACAUUUACAAACUGAAGAGUAAUCAAUCUACUCAAAGCAUGGGAUUACUAGAAUCAAACAUUUUGAAAGUCUGUCCUUGAAGGACUAAUAGAAAAGUAUGUUCUAACCUUUACAUGAGGACUCUAUUCUUUAACUCCCAUUACCAUGUAAUGGCAGUUAUAUUUUGCAGUUCCCACAUUAAAGAAGACCUGAGAAUGUAUCCCCAAAAGCGUGAGCUUAAAAUACAAGACUGCCAUAUUAAAUUUUUUGUUGACAUUAGUCUCAGUGAAGACUAUGAAAAUGCUGGCUAUAGAUGUCUUUUCCCAUUUAUCUAAAUAUGGACUGCUCAGGAAACGAGACUUUCCAUUACAAGUAUUUUUAAUUAAUUGGGCCAGCUUUUCAAACAAAGAUGCCACAUUCAAAAUAGGGUAUAUUUUCCUAUAUUACGGUUUGCCCCUUUAUAAAUCCAAGUAGAUAGGAGGAAAGAAGACACUUAAACUUUGCAUCUCAGUAUGAAUUAUUCAAUUUAUUUGAAUGAUUUUUCUUUACAAAACAAACUCAUCAUUAGUCAUGUUUAUCUGCUUAGCAGUUUAGGGAACAAUUUGGCAAUUUUGUGGUUUUCGAGAUUAUCGUUUUCUUAAAGUGCCAGUAUUUUAAAAUAGCGUUCUUAUAAUUUUACACGCUUUUGUGAUGGAGUGCUGUUUUGUUAUAUAAUUUUGACUUGGAUUCUUUCCAUUUGCAUUUGUUUAUGUAAUUUCAGGAGGAAUACUGAACAUCUGAGUCCUGGAUGAUACUAAUAAACUAAUAAUUGCAGAGGUUUAAAAA
Molecule: long non-coding RNA, 2247 nt
Filed under: Homo sapiens (human)
Lineage: Eukaryota; Metazoa; Chordata; Mammalia; Primates; Hominidae
Description: non-protein coding lnc-CT62-3:1
Source: RNAcentral